UCAUCAAGAGAGAUUGAUCGCUAAGCUAGAAGAAGCAAGAAGCUAAACUUUGCCACAACAAAAAGAAUUGUUUUAACAAAUAAAUACAUAACAAGUGUUUUACAAGUGCCUUAACCACCAGUGCCUUGUUAGCAACACCUUAACCCUCUAUAAGACGCACCCACAAAGCCAACUAUCCUGCCGACAUCCUUAUCAAGGUAUAGGAGGGAAAAAGUACAAAAUUCAAUAAAUUAAUUUUGAUGCAAACCUGCUUUGUAUGUGUUACCUAUAACAAGAAACUUUAUUUGGCAACUCUAAACUUUCUCGAUCUGGCAAAUCUAUAAUCUUUUGUGAAUGGCAACAAGCGUUGUCGGUGAGUACAUGCAAAUGGAAAGAAAAACGGAAGAAAAAGAAAAGAACGAAAAUACUGCAAAUAUCGAAACCAAUAUAAAAGUGAUGAAGAUUCUUUAUCUGCAUCUUUAUCUCAAUGUAAAAAGUCAAACAAUGCAGAUCAAAUGGCCGCUCAGUACAUCUGAAUUUUAAUGGCUAUAUUCCUUGAUAUGUAGUAAACUAAAUGUAGCUGAAGCCAUUUAUAUGUGUUUUAAAAUGUAGUGAAAAAUUAGGCAAAAUAGAGGAAAAUGGGAACCGGUAUAUAACGCAAAAACCGGAAACCUAAAUAAAUAAAUUUUUUUUUUAUUGUUGGCAAGUUUCGUUGGUGAAUUUAAAAAUAAGUCUGUCCAAAUUGUGGACCAAGUGCCUUUGUGCCGAGUUGACCAGCAAACCGCCAACAAUUAAUUUAUUCUGGUUAGUCUGGUGGCGAAAUCCUCCCGAACACCCACUUUAUCACACCAUUAAAAAGGGUAAAGGAUAAGAGAAUAACAUUGAAAAGAGGUAACCCACUAUAAUAACGUCGAUCGUUGCUAAGAUCUGAGAGAGAAAUUCCGUGGCGGUUAUACCAACCCUCAGAAUACUGAGAACUGUAACGUUUCUAAAAAAUUAAUUUGUGUGUGUGAAUGUGUUGUCUGUGUGUUUGUUCUAGUUAUAAGUAUUUGAUUUCUAAUUUUUAGAAUUUUUUAAUGCCGGACACCUGGUUUUUUUAAGUGUAACUUAUUUUUCCUGAAGAACGCUAGAAAAGACUUUGACGUAGUAAAUAAUAUCAGACUAAAAUCUUUCUUAAGUGAGCUAUCUUAGGGUAAGAAUUUCGUAAAGAAGAAACUGUUCGACUAAAUACGUUUUAGGUUCCCUUUAUUGCUUCGACGGGAAUACCUAAUAUUGAUGACAUUAGCCUUUUUUGAUUGCCUUAGGUAUGGUGUUAGAAAGUCCAUGUAUGGAUAAUAGCCUACAAAGGUAAGAUACAAAAUUAGAAUUAAGAUAUCUA
This is a long non-coding RNA of Musca domestica (house fly), 1357 nucleotides long. RefSeq lists it as uncharacterized. The transcript has 3 exons. The record is from RefSeq and is a predicted model, not a curated record. NCBI's taxonomy places the organism in Eukaryota, Metazoa, Arthropoda, Insecta, Diptera, Muscidae.